CUCGAAUUCUUUUAGUAUUCGACUAGUGGUUGUCGAACUCAUUGGCUACCAUGAAACACGUACUUUGCUUUUUGGUAAUCUUGGCACUGUUUGCAUGCAUGUUUGCUAUGCCUGCUGACGGUGACAAAAAAGAUCCGCCCACGCCACCAAAGUCGCCGAAUGCGAUGGCCUACUUUGGAAAGGCCGUGGCCGACUGGACCACCGGCAUGGAAAAAUUAAUACCUGGUAACUGGUAAUAGAAAGCAGCUGUAAGUAAUUUAAUAUGUUAUAGUACAAAAUUAAACGGUUAGAAGAUAUA
This is a long non-coding RNA of Papilio machaon (common yellow swallowtail), 298 nucleotides long. RefSeq lists it as uncharacterized. Lineage: Eukaryota; Metazoa; Arthropoda; Insecta; Lepidoptera; Papilionidae. The transcript has 4 exons. The record is from RefSeq and is a predicted model, not a curated record.